This 468-nucleotide ribosomal RNA is filed under the name uncultured bacterium. Its description in RNAcentral is "partial 16S ribosomal RNA". It matches the Rfam family "Bacterial small subunit ribosomal RNA", at positions 28 to 507 of the family's 1533-position model. The record is from RNAcentral.
GACGAACGCUGGCGGCGUGCUUAACACAUGCAAGUCGAACGGAAAGGCCCUGCUUUUGUGGGGUGCUCGAGUGGCGAACGGGUGAGUAACACGUGAGUAACCUGCCCUUGACUUUGGGAUAACUUCAGGAAACUGGGGCUAAUACCGGAUAGGAGCUCCUGCUGCAUGGUGGGGGUUGGAAAGUUUCGGCGGUUGGGGAUGGACUCGCGGCUUAUCAGCUUGUUGGUGGGGUAGUGGCUUACCAAGGCUUCGACGGGUAGCCGGCCUGAGAGGGUGACCGGCGACAAGAGGCCUGAGGUAGGGCCCAGAAGGGAACGGUAGGCAGCGGUGGAAAGUAUUGCAGAGUGGGCGGGAGCGAGUGACGACGACGCUGGGUGCGGGAAGCCGUGCUACGAGGUGUGAACAAAUUUGGAAUGAGACAAGGCGUGAGUGACGGUAAUGGAUAAAGAAGCAACGGCUAACUACGUG